Molecule: transfer RNA, 84 nt
Filed under: Candidatus Sungbacteria bacterium RIFCSPHIGHO2_01_FULL_51_22
Lineage: Bacteria; Candidatus Sungiibacteriota
Also listed under: 3 other names
Description: tRNA-Leu
Source: RNAcentral
GGGCAAGUGGUGGAACUGGCAGACACGUACGGUUCAGGGCCGUAUGCCUUCACAGGCGUGGGAGUUCAACUCUCCCCUUGCCCA